CUCCCAACGCUAAACUUGACUUUCUCUCGCACCGCUUCUUGUCUCUUUCUCUCGAUCUCGAAACCAAUUCAAGACUUUCCUCCAAUCCAAUCGACCUAAUCCGAUCAUUUCGCCGUCAUUUCUCCCAAUUUCGAAUUUAAAACCCUAGUUUUCUUCUUUCCUUGUUUGAUCCGCUGAUCUGAUAGCAUGGAGAGGAUCGUCGGUGGAAAAUUCAAGCUAGGGCGGAAGAUCGGAAGUGGAUCUUUCGGAGAAAUUUAUCUCGCUACUCAUGUGGAUACGUUUGAGAUCGUUGCUGUGAAGAUCGAAAACAGUAAGACUAAACAUCCACAACUGUUCUAUGAGGCGAAGAUAUACAAUAUUCUGCAAGGAGGAAGUGGCAUUCCUGGCAUCAAAUGGUCUGGCAUAGAUGGGGAAGAUAAUGUACUUGUCCUGGAUCUACUUGGACCAAGUCUAGAAGAUCUGUUUGUAUAUUGUGGUCGGAAGUUCUCCUUAAAGACAGUAUUGAUGUUAGCUGAUCAAAUGAUAACAAGAAUAGAGUAUGUACACUCUAAAGGGUUUUUGCAUAGGGACAUUAAACCUGAUAACUUUCUCAUGGGUCUUGGUCGAAAAGCGAAUCAGGUUUACAUCAUUGACUUUGGGCUGGCAAAAAGAUAUCGAGAUUCUACAACCAACCGCCACAUUCCAUACAGGGAGAACAAAAACUUGACAGGGACUGCACGUUAUGCAAGUUGUAAUACUCAUCUUGGGAUUGAGCAAAGUCGGCGGGAUGACUUGGAGUCUCUUGGAUAUGUACUUCUGUAUUUCUUGAGAGGAAGCCUCCCAUGGCAGGGUUUGAAAGCAGCAACGAAGAAGCAAAAGUAUGACAAAAUAUGUGGAAAGAAAUUAUCAACUCCCAUUGAGGUAUUAUGUAAGUCUCAUCCUGUGGAGUUUGCUUCUUACUUCCAUUACUGCCAUUCAUUGACAUUUGAUCAGCGUCCUGAUUAUGGAUUCUUAAAGCGUCUAUUUCGAGAGUUGUUCAGUCGUGAAGGAUAUGCAAUUGAUUAUGUAUUCGAUUGGACCAUCCUAAAGUACCAGCAGGCACAAAAGAGUAGAACUCAGCCACAGUUAUCUCAAGUUCCUGGAGAGGGUAACAGUAGAACAAAACCAAUGGAUCUGGACAAGCAUCAAGGCAACCAUGCUUCUUAUUCAGCUGAGGCAACGGAACUCAUGAGAACAGUCAAUGCUGGUAGUCCUGGCAUCCGUGUGCAGUUUAAGUCACCAGCUGGGAGGAAUUUGAGCUUGGAUAAUCCCCUUGAAAGAAAUAUUUUGAGCAAUACAGACCUGCCAUCAGCUUCAUUCUCUCCUGCAGGUAUGUCAAAACUAAAAGCCUCAAAGGCUGUGUUGCCUGCUGAAAGCACAAACAUCGCUCAUGGGAAUGCUGAAAAAGUAGGUCCUUCAAGCAGCUGGAUAUCAUCCUUGCAUCGUAUAUCUUCCGCUAAGUGAUUAUAUAUGCUGCUAAGUCCAGUGACACACCUAAGGAAGGUCUGAAUGUUCCAUGGAUUUAGAAUUCCUGUCAUUUCCCUAUGGGUGCACUGCUUGUUUUAUAUAAAUUUCAAGACAACUACUAAUUCACGGGGCAACACUAGACACAAAUCAUGUGUGGGUUAGUUGACAAGAUUUUGGUGAUGGAGGAAGAGGUUAUGAUAUGAUCACCAAGUUCCUUCGUGGAUGGCAGGCUGCUUGCCUGAGUAGUUAUCUAUCCUUUCCUGAGGUGACUAAAUCAUUGGAUGAUCCUUCAACACAAACUGGAUGUCUUCAUUGGGGUGCAAUGAACCUGGGAAAGUAUCAUCAUUGUCUUUUUGUUCUGAAGACUUGCGAGGCUGAUACCAUUUCCUGCUCAGAGAUCUAUUUGAAAAGGGGGCUUUCUAUUGGAUAGAACAGGUGAACUGUUUAUAAACUAGUGAGCAUGAAACACCUAAAUUUUAACACGGGUUUAAGAAUGUGGUUCAGACUUUUCAUUUAGAAGAGGCAGAAUGUGGUUGUAGUUUAUAGCCCAGAGCUUGGAACUGUCUUUAGACCAUAAAAGAUAGUGUGGCACAGCUGGAGAAACUUGAUUGAAUACUUGGAUUUGGGCACUAGGGUCAAGAGGGCAACAGUUUUGUAGAGUGGAUGGAGCCAGUAAUGGAAAAGAACCGUACAGCUUCAAUUGGGAAUGCCGGAAAAUAAUGUUGCAGUACUUGCGAAAUUUCCCUUAAAAUAAAGGGUCAAGGAAAAUAAUAAUAUGAGCUGAUUUGUGCUUGUCGUUUUCAGGUCUAGUAUCCUUUGAAGCUUGCAGUAUGGACGUGGAUUAGCCGAGGCAAAAUGAAUAUCUCCUUUUGAAUGUAUGUGUGUAGGUAUAUUUGUGGAUAUGACAAUAGCAGAACACACAGGAUGUGAGUGGCAAUUAAGACAUAAGAUGGUUGACUUUUGGAACCCGAGAGGAUCUGAGUGUGCCUUAUGUUUUACAGGUGUAGUGCUUUUACUCUUUGGGUCUGGGUAGAUAAUUGAGUAGCAACAGAUGGAUGUACGAUUUAGCUGAAUGGAUCACUAAUUAUUGCAUUGCACGAUCCACGUUGGUAACUUGACAAAUGGAGUGGCUCUAGCCCACGGAGAGCAACUGCUGGUUGGAUUAUCUGCCUUAAAAAAACGGAUGGCCGGCAGGACUGCCCCUGCUUGUAUGGCGUUGCAAUGACUUUUGAGUUAUAUGAAUAUUAAGUAUAUCAUCGUGUUGCUCCCCGUUUUGUUUGCACCACCUCGAAAGUGUUCUCUAGGUACGUUCAGCAGGGAUUCAUCUUUGUCAACUUUUACCCCCUUGGGGAGGGAAAGCAUAUUCAGAAAGGAGAAUAUUACGUUUAGCUUGUA
Molecule: RNA transcript, 2880 nt
Organism: Diospyros lotus (date-plum)
Lineage: Eukaryota; Viridiplantae; Streptophyta; Magnoliopsida; Ericales; Ebenaceae
Gene name: casein kinase 1-like protein 3
Exons: 16
Source: RefSeq, a predicted model, not a curated record